Molecule: ribosomal RNA, 206 nt
Filed under: uncultured bacterium
Lineage: Bacteria
Description: partial 16S ribosomal RNA
Rfam family: Bacterial small subunit ribosomal RNA
Source: RNAcentral
CAUGUAGGCGGAUUAAUAAGUUUGAAGUGAAAUCCUAUAGCUUAACUAUAGAACUGCUUUGAAAACUGUUAAUCUAGAAUGUGGGAGAGGUAGAUGGAAUUUCUGGUGUAGGGUAAAAUCCGUAGAGAUCAGAAGGAAUACCGAUUGCGAAGGCGAUCUACUGGAACAUUAUUGACGCUGAGACGCGAAAGCGUGGGGAGCAAACA